Triticum aestivum (bread wheat) is the source of this 540-nucleotide long non-coding RNA. RefSeq lists it as uncharacterized. The record is from RefSeq and is a predicted model, not a curated record. NCBI's taxonomy places the organism in Eukaryota, Viridiplantae, Streptophyta, Magnoliopsida, Poales, Poaceae. The transcript has 2 exons.
CCAUCUUUCUGUUCCAUUCAACUUGAUAUGAGCAUAGUUGCUUUAAUUUUUGAAUCGUCUGUCCUUUUUUAUUUGUUUAUUAAGAGAGCCAGGCUGAUAGAAGUAUGUAAAGAAAGCUUAGAAAGAACAGAUCAAUGAAGCCAGAAACUUUACAAAAUAAUCGUCCAUGUUUAUGCAGGCUUGCUUGGCACUGUACUUGUCUAGCGGGUCAUUCUCAAUAAAAAAAGACCAUCAUUGCAUUACUCUGACCGUGGCAAUGCUCAUCGCCAGCAGUAAGGCCUACCAUCUGUAGCGACAGCUUGGUUUUCAACAUGUGUAACACUUGUGCAGUUGUAAGAUGUGUAGUGUGAAUGCUAAGGAUGACGUUUCUGCGACUGAUAUUUAUGUAAGAUGUGCGAAAUCUCUAAUCCUUGCAUAGUAUUGUAUCAGAAAUUAUGAUUUGGCAAAGUUCAGCAAUCCACAGUUGCUAGCACCAUUUUCUGUCGAUUGUAGGUCGAAGGACCGUUCAAAGCCAUUUAUUUUGAGUGGAAUUCCAAGCCA